Molecule: ribosomal RNA, 430 nt
Filed under: Chlamydia psittaci 84-8471/1
Lineage: Bacteria; Pseudomonadati; Chlamydiota; Chlamydiia; Chlamydiales; Chlamydiaceae
Description: bacterial SSU rRNA
Rfam family: Bacterial small subunit ribosomal RNA
Source: RNAcentral
GCAUACUUGAUGUGGAUAGUCUCAACCCUAUCCGUGUCGUAGCUAACGCGUUAAGUAUGCCGCCUGAGGAGUACACUCGCAAGGGUGAAACUCAAAAGAAUUGACGGGGGCCCGCACAAGCAGUGGAGCAUGUGGUUUAAUUCGAUGCAACGCGAAGAACCUUACCUGGGCUUGACAUGUAUUUGACCGCGGCAGAAAUGUCGUUUUCCGCAAGGACAGAUACACAGGUGCUGCAUGGCUGUCGUCAGCUCGUGCCGUGAGGUGUUGGGUUAAGUCCCGCAACGAGCGCAACCCUUAUCGUUAGUUGCCAACACUUAGGGUGGGAACUCUAACGAGACUGCCUGGGUUAACCAGGAGGAAGGCGAGGAUGACGUCAAGUCAGCAUGGCCCUUAUGCCCAGGGCUACACACGUGCUACAAUGGCCAGUACA